GAGAGAUAUUGGUCCCCAAAGAUUCGCCCCUUUUGAGAAGUGUGGGGUUUUGGGAGUUUCUACCUCCAUGGAAGCUUGAGGAACACUCAUUCCUCUAUUGUGUGAUCAUUGGUGGAUUGAGGCAAGAGGACCAAGUGGAGUGACCAACCCUUGGGGUUGUGUGCAAUUGAGGAAAGCUCAAAGAGCAAGGUACUGAUAGAGGUGAGGUUGAUCGAGGCAAGAAGCGUGAGUAGACUGUACCUGAUAGCUGGACAUGUUGAGUUGCAUGCCAUUUAGCAUUGCUAUAUGUAUAUUUUGAUGCCACAUGAUGUAUUUUGGAGGACUUAGUGCAUGAUCAUUGUAGUAGUAAUGGGUAUCUGAUACAGGGUUACUUGCUUUGAUCAUGUUCAUUUUGUAGCUAAGUCCUUUGGCAUGUAUAUGAGAUUUGUAAUUAAGACAUGAUGUAAUAUUGUAAGU
Long non-coding RNA from Gastrolobium bilobum, 456 nucleotides. RefSeq lists it as uncharacterized. Lineage: Eukaryota; Viridiplantae; Streptophyta; Magnoliopsida; Fabales; Fabaceae. The transcript has 3 exons. The record is from RefSeq and is a predicted model, not a curated record.